RNAcentral lists this ribosomal RNA (752 nucleotides) under uncultured bacterium. RNAcentral's name for it is "bacterial SSU rRNA". It matches the Rfam family "Bacterial small subunit ribosomal RNA", at positions 77 to 844 of the family's 1533-position model. The record is from RNAcentral.
AGCUUGCUUUUUUCACUCAGUGGCGGACGGGUGAGUAACGCGUGAGUAACCUGCCUUUCAGAGGGGGAUAACGUUCUGAAAAGAACGCUAAUACCGCAUAAGAUUGUAGCUUCGCAUGGAGCAGCAAUCAAAGGAGCAAUCCGCUGAAAGAUGGACUCGCGUCCGAUUAGAUAGUUGGCGGGGUAACGGCCCACCAAGUCGACGAUCGGUAGCCGGACUGAGAGGUUGAUCGGCCACAUUGGGACUGAGACACGGCCCAGACUCCUACGGGAGGCAGCAGUGAGGGAUAUUGGGCAAUGGGGGAAACCCUGACCCAGCAACGCCGCGUGAGGGAUGACGGUUUUCGGAUUGUAAACCUCUGUCCUCUGUGAAGAUAGUGACGGUAGCAGAGGAGGAAGCUCCGGCUAACUACGUGCCAGCAGCCGCGGUAAUACGUAGGGAGCAAGCGUUGUCCGGAUUUACUGGGUGUAAAGGGUGCGUAGGCGGAUUGGCAAGUCAGAAGUGAAAUCCAUGGGCUUAACCCAUGAACUGCUUUUGAAACUGUUAGUCUUGAGUGAAGUAGAGGUAGGCGGAAUUCCCGGUGUAGCGGUGAAAUGCGUAGAGAUCGGGAGGAACACCAGUGGCGAAGGCGGCCUACUGGGCUUUAACUGACGCUGAGGCACGAAAGUGUGGGUAGCAAACAGGAUUAGAUACCCUGGUAGUCCACACUGUAAACGAUGAUUACUAGGUGUGGGGGGUCUAACCCCCUCCGU